Callithrix jacchus (white-tufted-ear marmoset) is the source of this 1120-nucleotide non-coding RNA. The record is from RefSeq and is a predicted model, not a curated record. Lineage: Eukaryota; Metazoa; Chordata; Mammalia; Primates; Cebidae.
ACCAUCCUUGCAGCAUUUCAAAAGCUCCCUGACCUUGACUCCCUUCACAAUCAAUUUGACCACCUAUCAAGGAAGCUUGUCUGCCAGAAGACCCUGUUUUCACUUCCCAGCUCUCCUCCUCCAGCAACUGACUGAAAAGCGCCUUUCUUUUCUCUCACUGACGCAGAACUGACAAACCAGUAUCAAGCCGUUCUUUACAAAUCAAUAAACCGGAAGAUCUCAUCUACCGUACUUCCAAAUCCUACAACAUUCCGUCUUCUCUCUUCUUUGCAUAUCACAGGAUAAGCCGCAAGUUAUAUAAAAGCCUGAGAACUUGAUCCACAAGUGAUUCCACUGAGAUGUAACCCUUGUUUUAUCCAAAGGGAAGUGUUGGAACAUGCUUUGACUAUCAGGAACAGCCCAGAUUCGGUGUGUUCCUCUACACAAGGAACAAUUACCUGGAGACAUGAUUCACAUGGAGGAGGGGAGUGCUUUCCUGGAAGAGCUACCAUGAAAAGGUGAAUGUACUGAAAGAUUCAUUUACCUCAGAAUUUGAAGAAAAAGCAUCUGCAUAUUAAAACAUGAUGAACGCAUUAUGGAACAUAUAAAAUUGAUGUGAGAUUAAAAAAAUAAAACAAGAACCAUCAAAGACAUUUCAUGCUUAUCGAAAAAGGAGACAGAUCUAUGUGGAGCACCUAGUGAUUCAAAGAGAUAUUCUUAUUCCCAAUUACAAGGAAAGUAGAAUAUUUGUCUACUCAAGGGAUCAAGAGAAAAACAAGAGGAAUAGUUCUUGCCUUCAAAAACUUUCUGGAGCCCCCAAAAGGGAGAAACUUAUCACUAGAAGCAGAGUGAAAAUACACUAUUCACAAUAGCAAAGACUUGGAACCAACCCAAAUGCCCAUCAAUGACAGACUGGAUAAAGAAAAUGUGGCACAUAUACACCAUUGAAUACUAUGCAGCCAUAAAAAAGGAUGAGUUCAUGUCCUUUGCAGGGACAUAGAUGAAGCUGGAAACCAUCAUUCUCGGCAAACUAACACAGGAACAGAAAACCAAACAUCGCAUGUUCUCACUCAUAAGUGGGAAUUGAACAAUGAGAACACAUGGACACAGGAAGGUGAACAUCACAUACUGGGUCCUGCGG